GUGCGGGCCCUGUGCAACAAAACACCGUGAACCAUGUCAGGCGGGGAACCGAGCAGCAUUAAGCGGUACGUUUAGUGUGCCGCAGCAAGUCCGCACACC
RNAcentral lists this signal recognition particle RNA (99 nucleotides) under Ruminococcus sp. Its description in RNAcentral is "signal recognition particle sRNA small type". It matches the Rfam family "Bacterial small signal recognition particle RNA". From Rfam's summary of the family: The signal recognition particle (SRP) is a universally conserved ribonucleoprotein involved in the co-translational targeting of proteins to membranes. Archaeal SRP consists of a 7S RNA and homologues of the eukaryotic SRP19 and SRP54 proteins. The record is from RNAcentral. Lineage: Bacteria; Bacillati; Bacillota; Clostridia; Eubacteriales; Oscillospiraceae. RNAcentral also lists the same sequence under 1 other name.